This 209-nucleotide ribosomal RNA is filed under the name uncultured bacterium. Its description in RNAcentral is "partial 16S ribosomal RNA". It matches the Rfam family "Bacterial small subunit ribosomal RNA", at positions 568 to 775 of the family's 1533-position model. The record is from RNAcentral.
UGCGUAGGCGGCGGGGAAAGUCAGAUGUGAAAUCCGGAGGCUCAACCUCCGAAAUGCAUCCGAUACUCCCUCGCUAGAGAUUUGUAGAGGAGCUUGGAAUUCUCGGUGUAGCAGUGAAAUGCGUAGAUAUCGAGAAGAACGCUCGCAGCGAAGGCGAAGCUCUGGGCAAAUUCUGACGCUGAUGCACGAAGGCGUAGGGGAGCGAAACG